This is a long non-coding RNA of Vespula pensylvanica (western yellowjacket), 289 nucleotides long. RefSeq lists it as uncharacterized. The transcript is spliced from 3 exons. The record is from RefSeq and is a predicted model, not a curated record. NCBI's taxonomy places the organism in Eukaryota, Metazoa, Arthropoda, Insecta, Hymenoptera, Vespidae.
GUGGUCUAAUUCUUCUUCCAUUUAUUUUAUUUUAGAAUAAUUUAAUUCUAAUUUUGUUUGCAUUUAUUUGAUAUCAUAAGAAGAAAUUAUAGAUUAUUGCACAAGAAAGUAUACAACUUUGUUUUAUUUAGAAAAUUUAUAACGUUUUCGUUACUAUCUUCAUACGCAGUAAUUCCUAUAUUUUAGAAAUUAUUUGUGACUGUGUGCAGAACGGUCUUAGAAUCAAGAACCAUCAAACAUUCCGUUCAAAUAAAAGAAGAAUCAUCCUCUUCAUCAUCCAGUGGUAGGA